AUACGUAGGGUGCAAGCGUUAAUCGGAAUUACUGGGCGUAAAGCGUGCGCAGGCGGUUUUUUAAGACAGAGGUGAAAUCCCCGGGCUCAACCUGGGAACUGCCUUUGGGACUGCAAGGCUAGAGGACGGCAGAGGGGGGUGGAAUUCCGCGGGUAGCAGGGGAAAGCGUAGAUAUGCGGAGGAACACCGAUGGCGAAGGCAAUCCCCUGGGCCUGUACUGACGCUCAUGCACGAAAGCGUGGGGAGCAAACAGGAUUAGAUACCCUGGUAGUCCACGCCCUAAACGAUGUCAACUGGUUGUUGGGUCUUCAUUGACUCAGUAACGAAGCUAACGCGUGAAGUUGACCGCCUGGGGAGUACGGCCGCAAGGUUGAAACUCAAAUGAAUUGACGGGG
This 395-nucleotide ribosomal RNA is filed under the name uncultured bacterium. Its description in RNAcentral is "partial 16S ribosomal RNA". It matches the Rfam family "Bacterial small subunit ribosomal RNA", at positions 523 to 918 of the family's 1533-position model. The record is from RNAcentral.